GGCGAGCGUGUGUAUAUAGCACCACCUUGAACUCCAGGAGAGGUGGCAGGCAUUUUAUUUUAGAAUAUGAAUUUGGGGUGGGGUACAGAAGGGACCUUGCCAGUACCUGUCUCUCACAGUCAUGUCACCUCCUCCCCCACCUCCUCCAGUACCGCCUGGUGCCCAUCCCCCGGGCUCGCUAUGACUUCGCCUGUGCCAGCCUUGUCUUCGUCUGCAUCCUGCUUGUCCACCUCCUAGUGAUGCCCAGGUCAGCCUGUGACGGGGUAGAUGGCUAAGCCCCCUUGGGUUACACGGUGACUAUGCUAGGACCCAGCAAAACUGGCAAGGUGCUUCGUAGCUAACAGGGACUUCAGCUGUGGGUCCCUCACCACUGGAGCAGAGGGAUGGCCCCAGCGUUGGGGUUUCUGGCCUUUCC
This 415-nucleotide long non-coding RNA is filed under the name Rattus norvegicus (Norway rat). RNAcentral describes it as "long non-coding RNA NONRATT014511". Lineage: Eukaryota; Metazoa; Chordata; Mammalia; Rodentia; Muridae. The record is from RNAcentral.